UACGAAGGGGGCUAGCGUUACUCGGAUUGACUGGGCGUAAAGGGCGCGUAGGCGGCUUGUACAGUCAGGGGUGAAAUCCUGGAGCUCAACUCCAGAACUGCCUUUGAUACUGAAGAUCUUGAGUUCGGGAGAGGUGAGUGGAACUGCGAGUGUAGAGGUGAAAUUCGUAGAUAUUCGCAAGAACACCAGUGGCGAAGGCGGCUCACUGGCCCGAUACUGACGCUGAGGCACGAAAGCGUGGGGAGCAAACAGG
RNAcentral lists this ribosomal RNA (253 nucleotides) under uncultured bacterium. Its description in RNAcentral is "partial 16S ribosomal RNA". It matches the Rfam family "Bacterial small subunit ribosomal RNA", at positions 524 to 776 of the family's 1533-position model. The record is from RNAcentral.